Oncorhynchus kisutch (coho salmon) is the source of this 251-nucleotide long non-coding RNA. RefSeq lists it as uncharacterized. Lineage: Eukaryota; Metazoa; Chordata; Actinopteri; Salmoniformes; Salmonidae. The transcript is spliced from 3 exons. The record is from RefSeq and is a predicted model, not a curated record.
AAACCGUGCGGCAAAACCCGAAAAAUGGUUCCAAUCGUUUUCCACCAUUCAUUUUUCCGUAGCGGGUUUUAGAACUACCUCAUGCAAGGUCUGUGUUUCGUGUAGGCUUACCCAGGCAUGACGUUUUGUUAACCGUGCAAAUCUCUAUGGGACAAGGUGCAGGGUGAGGAAAAACAUCAAUUUCUCCAUGCAAACUCAUCAACAAAAGCCAUGGAUUACAGGAAGGAUCCGCACUGAGCUAAAGGCUAGAG